GGGUGUGUAGCUCAGUGGUAGAGCACGUCACUGAUAAUGACGGGGUCGGAAGUUCGAUCCUUCCCACACCCACCA
RNAcentral lists this transfer RNA (75 nucleotides) under Candidatus Doudnaibacteriota bacterium. Its description in RNAcentral is "Candidatus Doudnabacteria bacterium tRNA-Ile". It matches the Rfam family "tRNA". Rfam says of the family: Transfer RNA (tRNA) molecules are approximately 80 nucleotides in length. Their secondary structure includes four short double-helical elements and three loops (D, anti-codon, and T loops). The record is from RNAcentral. RNAcentral also lists the same sequence under 1 other name. Lineage: Bacteria; Candidatus Doudnaibacteriota.